Cicer arietinum (chickpea) is the source of this 661-nucleotide long non-coding RNA. RefSeq lists it as uncharacterized. The record is from RefSeq and is a predicted model, not a curated record. Lineage: Eukaryota; Viridiplantae; Streptophyta; Magnoliopsida; Fabales; Fabaceae.
AAAAUUACAAAAUUACAAUAAUGCCUAAACUCUAAAUCAUAUCCUCUCUCUCAUGCGCACGCUGCUCUCUCUCACUAGAAGAUCAGAAAUUGCCGCUAAGCUUUUCUUUUAGCUCUAACUCAUCCUGGGCGAUUCUUAUUAUUCUUGGCCACUAAGGUGGCUUUUGACCAAGAGAACCAGCUAGAAGAAAAGGUACCACCGAAAGAAGGUCGACCUCACCCCCUUUGCUAAACCGAAGCAGAGUAAGAGGAAGAAGCAAAGCUAGGCCAUUUGUUCUCACCUGUGUGUACAAUCCUCAAGAAGGAAUAUACAAAAGAACCUUAUUCUUUUUUGCAUCUCCCAAGUUCGAAUGCUUUUAUGCUGUUAACUCUUGCUGCAUUGCGUCGCGCCGCCGCUGUGUCGCCCUUGUCUUUCCGUCUUGCGCCGCUGCUGCCUCGCCUCGCCUGUUUGUCGUCAAAACUCCAAAGUUAUUACAAGUUAAUGAGUCUUCAAGUUCAAGUUUGGGAGAAACUCGCUCUGAUAGAUGAUACCAGAAAUGGGAGUCAUAAGUUGUAUUUUAUUUAUUUAAUUAGAAACAACUCUUUUAUGAAAACCCUACUAUUUUAAAAGAGGAAAAAUUUAAAGUGUUCCUUUUGAAUUUUGAGAAAUGUGAUAUUCUAAA